AGGGCUUCCAGCUGCGCCGGCUCAGGGAUCCAGGACAGCCUCCUCCAGGGCUGGAGGCCGCUGUGGCAGGAGCCCUCGGUGGCAGGCUGCGCUGCGCGUGGCGGGGCUUCUGCCUGUCCAGUUGGAAUUGCCUGUCAUGGAGGAGCACGGAGGGGAACAAGCCAGGCAAGGAAGACAAAAUGUCUGCCAACCGGGAGCAUGCCGGCUUCUUUUGUUGUUCGUAUAAAUUUUGUAUUCUCCUCCACCGUUUGCGGAAGAAAACAUGUCGGCUCCUUUUAGUUUUUUUUAUUUGGUUUGUAUAUAUAGAUAUUUUUAA
Long non-coding RNA from Perognathus longimembris pacificus (Pacific pocket mouse), 316 nucleotides. RefSeq lists it as uncharacterized. Lineage: Eukaryota; Metazoa; Chordata; Mammalia; Rodentia; Heteromyidae. The record is from RefSeq and is a predicted model, not a curated record. The transcript is spliced from 3 exons.